Molecule: ribosomal RNA, 433 nt
Filed under: uncultured bacterium
Lineage: Bacteria
Description: partial 16S ribosomal RNA
Rfam family: Bacterial small subunit ribosomal RNA
Source: RNAcentral
AACGAACGCUGGCGGCAUGCCUAACACAUGCAAGUCGAACGAGACCUUCGGGUCUAGUGGCGCACGGGUGCGUAACGCGUGGGAACCUGCACUUAGGUUCGGAAUAACUCCCCGAAAGGGGUGCUAAUACCGGAUAAUGUCUUCGGACCAAAGAUUUAUCGCCUUUGGAUGGGCCCGCGUUGGAUUAGCUAGUUGGUAGGGUAAAAGCCUACCAAGGCGACGAUCCAUAGCUGGUCUGAGAGGAUGAUCAGCCACACUGGGACUGAGACACGGCCCAGACUCCUACGGGAGGCAGCAGUGGGGAAUAUUGGACAAUGGGCGGAAUCCUGAUCCAGCAAGGCCGCGUGAGUGAUGAAGGCCUUAGGGUUGUAAAGCUCUUUUACCCGGGAUGAUAAUGACAGUACCGGGAGAAUAAGCUCCGGCUAACUCCGUG